CCUACGGGAGGCAGCAGUGAGGAAUAUUGGUCAAUGGACGAGAGUCUGAAGCAGCCAAGUAGCGUGAAGGAUGACUGCCCUCUGGGUUGUAAGCUUCUUUUAUAAAGGAGUAAAACGCGGCACGUGUGCCUUUAUGCAUGUACUUUAUGAAUAAGGAUCGGCUAACUCCGUGCCAGCAGCCGCGGUAAUACGGAGGAUCCGAGCGUUAUCCGGAUUUAUUGGGUUUAAAGGGAGCGUAGAUGGGUUGUUAAGUCAGUUGUGAAAGUUUGCGGCUCAACCGUAAAAUUGCAAUUGAUACUGGCAGUCUAGAGUACAGUUGAGGUAGGCGGAAUUCGUGGUGUAGCGGUGAAAUGCUUAGAUAUCACGAAGAACCCCGAUUGCGAAGGCAGCUUACUAAACUGUGACUGACAUUGAUGCUCGAAAGUGUGGGGAUCAAACAGGAUUAGAUACCCGAGUAGUC
This 460-nucleotide ribosomal RNA is filed under the name uncultured bacterium. Its description in RNAcentral is "partial 16S ribosomal RNA". It matches the Rfam family "Bacterial small subunit ribosomal RNA", at positions 338 to 795 of the family's 1533-position model. The record is from RNAcentral.